CUAGCAUCGCAGUGCGCUGGUCUGCCAAAUAUGGCUAGGGAACACGGUGAAAUUCCGUGACUGACGCGCAGCGGUGAUAGAGAACGAAAGCACACGGACGUAAGUUCCAAACACUGUUUCAGACAAUUGCGCAAUGCAAUCGGUAUGAAGCGGGAAGUUGUUGCCUAGGUGGUUACCCAAUCAUGCUCUUAAGUCCGAAGACCGACCAGUGUACAAAGCAAAUC
RNAcentral lists this non-coding RNA (224 nucleotides) under Photobacterium profundum. Lineage: Bacteria; Pseudomonadati; Pseudomonadota; Gammaproteobacteria; Vibrionales; Vibrionaceae. RNAcentral also lists the same sequence under 1 other name. The record is from RNAcentral.